UACAGAGGUCCCAAGCGUUGUUCGGAUUCACUGGGCGUAAAGGGUGCGUAGGCGGUCGGGUAAGGCUGGCGUGAAAUCUCCAAGCCUAACUUGGAAACUGCGUUGGAUACUAUCCGGCUCGAGGAAUGGAGGGGAGACUGGAAUACUUGGUGUAGCAGUGAAAUGCGUAGAUAUCAAGUGGAACACCAGUGGCGAAGGCGAGUCUCUGGACAUUUCCUGACGCUGAGGCACGAAAGCCAGGGGAGCAAACGGG
This 253-nucleotide ribosomal RNA is filed under the name uncultured bacterium. RNAcentral's name for it is "partial 16S ribosomal RNA". It matches the Rfam family "Bacterial small subunit ribosomal RNA", at positions 524 to 776 of the family's 1533-position model. The record is from RNAcentral.